Molecule: unclassified non-coding RNA, 148 nt
Organism: Pongo abelii (Sumatran orangutan)
Lineage: Eukaryota; Metazoa; Chordata; Mammalia; Primates; Hominidae
Rfam family: Metazoan signal recognition particle RNA
About the family: The signal recognition particle (SRP) is a universally conserved ribonucleoprotein. It is involved in the co-translational targeting of proteins to membranes. The eukaryotic SRP consists of a 300-nucleotide 7S RNA and six proteins: SRPs 72, 68, 54, 19, 14, and 9.
Source: Ensembl
GCUGGGCGUGGUGGCGGAUGCCUGUAAUCCCAGCUAGUGGGGAGGCUGAGGCAUGAGAAUCGCUUGAACCCAGGAGGUGGAGUUUGCAGUGAGCAGAGAUUGCGCCACUGCACUCCAGCCUGGGUGACAGAGUGAGACUUUGUCUCAA